Molecule: long non-coding RNA, 436 nt
Filed under: Homo sapiens (human)
Lineage: Eukaryota; Metazoa; Chordata; Mammalia; Primates; Hominidae
Description: long non-coding RNA NONHSAT169432.1
Source: RNAcentral
UGUGAACACUGCCACAAGAGAGACCUCAGGGACACAACCUUCAAAGCUGAGAAGUGUAAGGGGGAGAAUUAGAGAGCAGCUGGAGUGCAAAGUAUAUCAGCAAAUACUACAGGAGGAGGAGUGCAUGUGUCCUGAAUACAAGUUUCAAAGGAGAACUAGAGAAGGACAACUGGACAGUCCAGGAAACACAGACUGGACACGAGCAGGUAAAUGAGAAGAGGACGGGUGCUGCUUCCUGAAUCCCAAAUUUCUAUUCCCUGCGAUGAGGAAGCAGGGGCAAAGAGGGAAUGAGUACAUGAAUCAGUCUCAUACAGCUUGUAAAUGGUGGGACCAAGAUUGAGACAGCCUGAUUCCAGUGUCCAUGCACUUAACUACUAUGCGUGAUUAAACAUUAAUUUAAGUAUUAAUUAAUUAUUAAACAAAAAAACAAAGCAAA